Molecule: long non-coding RNA, 2128 nt
Filed under: Malus domestica (apple)
Lineage: Eukaryota; Viridiplantae; Streptophyta; Magnoliopsida; Rosales; Rosaceae
Description: long non-coding RNA (MDOM_LNC009984)
Source: RNAcentral
CAAUUUUUUUAUCAACAUGGGGUAGGUCCAAUCACAUUUUUAAAUGUUGGCAUAAUAUUUUUCCAGAUUAAGGAGUUCUAUUAUUUAGGUUCAAUCAACAGUGUAAAAUGUUGAUAAAAAAAAUCACUCAAAAAAGAGCUGGUAAUUCGAAUUUGUAAGAUCUUUCAACGUCAAAAGGAGAUAUCAACCAGUUAGAACCUCAUCAUCUUGGUUCAGUUCGUGAAAUAUCCUACAUUGGCAGAUGAGGGAGAAAAUAGGAGUUUAAAUGUCCUAAUUACACUUUAACUUAUACUGAAAAAUUUUGUAAUAAAACUUCACAUUUAUCAAAUUGUGCACGUGAAAAUCAACAAUUUGAAGUCAAUAGCAAUAUUGUUAUAAGUAGGUUUGGCCCACCUUUUUGAUAAUUUUGGCAAAAAUAAAUUUUACACACAUCCUUACGUGAGAUUUGUCAUCAUCAGUCAACAAAUCAAAUUCUUUGUACCAAACUCUUGUCAACCUACUUAAAUAGAAUUUCUACAAGCAUUUUUUGUCUGUAUGUGCGGAAUCGUAUAGUAUUUUGCUGUUUGUUGUGAUUGCAUAGAUCAUUAUCAAAUUAUUAGCCCAUAGAAAGUCCUAGUAUACAUUGCCAGAAUGCAAUCUUUACCGACAUAGAGGCAAGCUAUUCUUUUUGCACUAUACUAAUUGCCAAGGGACAUCACUUCCACUCUAACAUCCUAAUACAUAUAGCAAUCACUAUUCUAAAAAUUUCCACCUAAGCGUUAGGUAACUAGUCACCAUCAUACGAUUAAUCUUUAGGUAUUUAAAAAUUAAGAAAUAGUAUCUAGACCUAUCUAGGCACCCGCCUAGGUCGCGACUCUCACUUAGACAGAAAAUAGCUAUAUAACUUUCAUUUUGCAUGUUAUUUUUUAAUAAAUUGUAAGAGACUUGUUGAAUACUUGAGGGAACACUCCUUAUAUGCUUGUUCCCAAUGUUUUAAGUAUGUUCUAAUACUUUAUAAUCUAUAUGUCAUUCUAUUUACAAUUAUGUAUUAUUUUAAUUAAGUAUAAAUAGAUAUUUAUUAACAUGUUAUAUAAUAAAUUUAAUUAAAAUUUAUAUAAAAAAAAACUGCCUAUAAGCCUAGGCAUUAGGCCCCUGAUCACCGCCCGACUAGCGAACAACCUCUUUAGAACCUUGAUUACAAUCAUCAAGAAGCUAUAUGAAUAAGAAGAAAAUUAUGUAUUUUUUGUUAACCAAGCUUGAUCAUAUGCAGAAGAAGAAGAACAUAGCAGAGAGAGAGAGAGAGAGAGAGAGAGAGAGAGAGAGAGAGAGAGAGAGAGAGAGAGAGAGAGAGAGAGAAUUCUUAGAGAAGAAGUAAUCUAUUUGUUUUGAUUAUUUUCCUUAAUUGUUUACAUCAUCCUUAUAGUAUAUAUACAACUAAUGUUGCCUACAAUAUAAGCUAACUGUUUAACAUACUACUAACUACUUGUCUAAUCUUAUGACACUUGUCAAAAGUAUAGCCCUUAGAUUGAUUACUCCUUACAUCCCUCCUCAAUCUCAGGGGCAAUGAAACUGAGUUUGAGAUUGUUACAAUGAGUCUUGAAUAAUGGUGCAGACAACCCUUUAGUUAUGAUAUCUACAAACUGCUCAAGUGAAGAGACAAACUGAACCAACAACAAUCUUUUAGCCACCCAUUCUCUCACAAAAUGAACAUCGAUUUCAACAUGUUUUGUGCGCUGAUGCUGAACAGUAUUACAUGUAAGAGCAAUUGCAGAUAGAUUAUCACAAUAAAGGGUAGGUGUACCAGAAAUUGAAACUUGCAUAAACCUUAACAAUUGCUUGAUCCAAUCGAUCUCAAGAGUUGUGGAAGAUAGUGCUCGAUACUCUGCCUUAGUGGAGGAAUGAGAGACAAUAUUUUGUUUCUUUGAGGACCAUGAGAUGGGAUUAGAACUAAGAAAGAUAACCAGUCCUGUAGUGGAUCGACAAUCAUUGGGAUCUUAUGCCCAAUUAGCAUCGCUGAAUGUUUGUAAAUCCAAUCCUCCUUUAGUAUAAUGCAAACCACAUCCUUUAGUAGCUUUCAGAUAACGUGGAAUCCUUUUUAUUGCCACAAAGUGAGCUUCCAUAGGACACUGCAUGAACUGAGAAACAUGAU